GUGGGGAAUUUUGGACAAUGGGCGCAAGCCUGAUCCAGCAAUGCCGCGUGCAGGAAGAAGGCCUUCGGGUUGUAAACUGCUUUUGUACGGAACGAAACGGUCCGGGUUAAUACCCUGGGCUAAUGACGGUACCGUAAGAAUAAGCACCGGCUAACUACGUGCCAGCAGCCGCGGUAAUACGUAGGGUGCAAGCGUUAAUCGGAAUUACUGGGCGUAAAGCGUGCGCAGGCGGUUUUGUAAGACAGGCGUGAAAUCCCGGGGCUCAACCUGGGAAUUGCGCUUGGGACUGCAAGGCUAGAGUGCGGCAGAGGGGGAUGGAAUUCCGCGUGUAGCAGUGAAAUGCGUAGAUAUGCGGAGGAACACCGAUGGCGAAGGCAAUCCCCUGGGCCUGCACUGACGCUCAUGCACGAAAGCGUGGGGAGCAAACAGGAUUAGAAACCCGGGUAGUCC
RNAcentral lists this ribosomal RNA (450 nucleotides) under uncultured bacterium. RNAcentral describes it as "partial 16S ribosomal RNA". It matches the Rfam family "Bacterial small subunit ribosomal RNA", at positions 354 to 796 of the family's 1533-position model. The record is from RNAcentral.